AUACGUAUGGUGCAAGCGUUGUUCGGAUUUAUUGGGCGUAAAGGGUCCGCAGGGGGUCGAUUAAGUCUGAUGUGAAAUCUCAUGGCUCAACCAUGAAACUGCAUUGGAAACUGAUAGACUAGAGUACUGGAGAGGCAAGUGGAAUUCCUGGUGGAGCGGUGGAAUGCGUAGAUAUCAGGAGGAACACCGAGAGCGAAGGCAGCUUGCUGGACAGUUACUGACCCUCAGGGACGAAAGCAUGGGUAGCAAACAGGAUUAGAAACCCUAGUAGUCC
RNAcentral lists this ribosomal RNA (274 nucleotides) under uncultured bacterium. Its description in RNAcentral is "partial 16S ribosomal RNA". It matches the Rfam family "Bacterial small subunit ribosomal RNA", at positions 523 to 796 of the family's 1533-position model. The record is from RNAcentral.